This 492-nucleotide ribosomal RNA is filed under the name uncultured bacterium. Its description in RNAcentral is "partial 16S ribosomal RNA". It matches the Rfam family "Bacterial small subunit ribosomal RNA", at positions 30 to 507 of the family's 1533-position model. The record is from RNAcentral.
AUUGAACGCUGGCGGUAUGCCUAACACAUGCAAGUCGAACGGCAGCACAGUAAGAGCUUGCUCGUACGGGUGGCGAGUCGCGGACGGGUGAGAUAUACACCUGAAUCUACUUGUGCGUGGGGGAGAACGUAGGGGAAUUAACGCUAAUACCGCUUACGGCCUGCGAGCGGAAGCCGGGCGGCUCCCGACCUUGCGCGUUUGCAGGUGGCGAUGGCGGAUUAGCUAGUUGUCGGGGUAAAGGCCCACCAAGGCGACGAUCAGUAGCUGGUCUGAGAGGAUGACCAGCCACACUGGGACUGAGACACGGCCCAGACUCCUACGGGAGGCAGCAGUGGGGAAUUUUGGACAAUGGGCGAAAGCCUGAUCCAGCAAUGCCGCGUGUGUGAAGAAGGCCUUCGGGUUGUAAAGCACUUUUGUCCGGAAAGAAAACCAUGACGCUAAUACAGUCGGGGGAUGACGGUACCGGAAGAAUAAGCACCGGCUAACUACGUG